UAAGAGCAGACAUGCUUUUGUCAUUAAAAGGGGACAGCCCAGUGGCACAUUGGUCAGCAUUGCUAUCUUGCAGUGCCGGAAUCAUGAUCUUAGUUCUCAAUCAAGGCCAAGGCGCUAUUUGUGUGAAGUUUGCAUGUUCUCACCAUACAUGUGUGGGUUUCCUCAAGGUACCCUGGCUACUUUCCAUACAUCAAACACAUACUGGCAGGGAGCGACACCUGGAGGCUGAUGCUGAUCCUUCCCAGCUGGUGACGGGGAGAACCUUAUACAUGGGGAGACCUCUCUGACAGUGUUAGACAAGUGCAGGAAGAGUCUGAGGUCACUAUGUUACAGGAGAAAGGGACUUCCCUAAGCAGAGAGCAGGGGUCUCUGAAACUCCGCUUGCGGACCACUAUGGAGCUACCAUGGCAAUGCCCGAUGUGAUGGUGCACAACCAAUAGGACCCCAUGUGAUGCCAGUGAAAAGCUUCUGGGAUGAAUGUUAGUACAAUAUUUUCAAACUCUGAAAUGACAUGAAAGAAUAGAAGACUUGUGCAGAGAGAUCCCCGGUGUCCCCCGAGAGCUGUACAUGAAGAUUGUACUUUGGGAGGGAGGCAGGUGUAACAUGUAAGUGGAAGAUAUGGGCCAAUGACUGUAUAACAUGUACAGUAUUAGAAUCCAUAGUAAUAUCACUUUAUUAUACUCUUGUUAUAUUGUAACUAUAUACUUACCCAUGGGCGAAGCCCUUGGAAUGCAGGAAUUGGAGCCCACAUACAAGUUCUGCACUGUAGAAUCUGUUGGAUAGAAAAUAAGUUAAUGUUACAUUGUUAGGAUGUGUACAUAAUGGCUGAGGAUUUCCAGCCAACACUCCCCACAUUUUCCCACAAUGUCCCCAUUUAUUUUGUUUCAAAUUUCCCAACUGCCUAAUAUAAUGUUUCUAGUGUUGUGCAUUGGUGCAAGUCACUAUAUAUUGUAUAUGGCUUAUUAGAGUUUAUGUAAGAGGAGUAUUGGGAUGUCUUCAAGAUGACGCUCACAAAGUAUCCUUCUAUAAUAACACCUGCUUUAUUUGUCAGGGUGGAAGACAAUUUACAGAAACAAUUCUAAUAAUCAGAAGGAUAAAGUGCUGUUUCUUAGGCUCACACAAUACUAACAAGAUAUUAUUCUGUGUCCUCACCUUGCACUGGUGAUGGUAAGAGGCCCAUUCCUCAUCAGAAGAUGUUCAAAGUCACCACCACUCGCAUACUCCAUACCAAGGAGCACGUGCUCCUGUUUAUGGGAGAAGCAAUAGUGUUAUUAUACAUGUCAGGAGGGAAAGAGUUGGACCGUGGGGAAUAUCAUCUUCUGACCAAAAUAAGUAGAGAUAAAUUAUAUACAUUAUUCAUUUUUAAAAAUAUCCUUCGCUUCUUUUCUCCUCAUGGGAAUAUAAUGGACAGUCAUGGGGGGGACAAGGAGAACAGAGAGAGGGCAAAGAAGAAUCUUACUAUACCACAGUCUAUGGAACAUGUUCUAUAAUCGUUUUACAGUGAGUUAGUAACACAUAACUCCAAUAAAAUGAUUAUUUUUACACCAAAAUAACAGGUAGUAAAUUGUCCUACAUGCAAACAUUAAUAGUCAUUGAUGCAUCUAAAACAAAAAAACACUGAAUAAUAAUAGAAGAGCUACAAGUGUAUUAGUUGUAUCAGCUGUUAGUAAUAGCAUUGAUCCUCAGACCAUGGAACACAUGACACAAGGCCAUUCUCACCUCCCUGCAGGAAGCAGGACAGAUGCAUGUGUACCUGAUACAGAAAUACCACUGUCUCUCUAUCUGUCCUGUCUCGCAUGGUCCAGGGUCUCAGUGUGACUGUCAGCAUUGGCGUGUGCACGGGGGGUGCCUGGUGCGCACAGGCACCCUCUAAUGUCCUCCCGCACAUCACACCUGCUACUACAGCAGCACGCACACAGACUGCGCUGCUCAUCGCUGCCUGUCACACAGUCACCGGCGCUAUCUUUCUCCACUGUGACACCCCCUCCUGUCGCGCCAGACAACCGGUCAGACAGACUCACAGACCGCCUCGCACAGCCACUUAAAUAUACUUAUUGUUGGGGAAAACUUGGUACAGAGCACAGGAGGUUUGUCACUUCAAUAAAUCAGCUGGACAGUAUGGUCCAGUUGAUUUAUUGGAGUCCCGCUCUUCUCUGUGUUCUAUCACUGCGGCACUCACAGGUCUUGUAAUCCAUAUGCAGGUUAUAUACUGGUCCUCAUCUUAGCAAGAAAUUGUGUAAGGGGCACGACUACUGGUUGGGCAUUGUGUAAGUGGCACACCUAUGAGCAUUGUGUAAGGGGCACUACUACUGUGUGGGCAUUGUGUAAGGGGCACGAGUACUGUGUGGGCAUUGUGUAAGGGGCACAACUACUGUGUGGGCAUUGUGUAAGGGGCACGAGUACUGUGUGGGCAUUGUGUAAGGGGGCACUACUACUAUGUGGGCAUUGUGUAAGGGGCACUACUACUGUGUGGGCAUUGUGUAAGGGGCAUUACUACUGUGUGGGCAUUGUGUAAGGGGCACUACUAUUGUGUGGGCAUUGUGUAAGGGGCACUACUACUGUGUGGGCAUUGUGUAAGGAGCACUACUACUGUGUGGGCAUUGUGUAAGGGGCACUACUACUGUGUGGGCAUUGUGUAAGGGGCACUACUACUGUGUGGGCAUUGUGUAAGGGGCACUACUACUAUGGGAGGUGGAGGCUGAGAGACAGAGUAAAGGGUGGGAAGCUGAAAGACACAGAAUGAAGGGUGGGAGACAAACUCACAAAGUGAGGUGGAUUGUGAGAGAUGCAUGGCAGGGAGACGUAGGCGGAAGAUGAUGGUGUGGAAGAGAGACGACACAGGGAGGUGAUAAUGGUGUGGCUGAGAGACGAUGUAGGGAGGGGAGGAGAUGGUGUGGCAGAGAGACGCAGGCGGGAGAUGAUGGUGUGACAGAGAAAUGCAGAGGGCAGUAGGUGAUACAAGUCUGGUUGAAUCUCUGUUGCAUGAGGAUGAUCUUGGUUAUAUUCCUACAC
Long non-coding RNA from Pseudophryne corroboree (corroboree frog), 3012 nucleotides. RefSeq lists it as uncharacterized. The record is from RefSeq and is a predicted model, not a curated record. The transcript has 3 exons. Lineage: Eukaryota; Metazoa; Chordata; Amphibia; Anura; Myobatrachidae.